UGGGGAAUUUUGGACAAUGGGCGAAAGCCUGAUCCAGCAAUGCCGCGUGUGUGAAGAAGGCCUUCGGGUUGUAAAGCACUUUUUGUCCGGAAAGAAAUCCUUGGCUCUAAUAUAGUCGGGGGAUGACGGUACCGGAAGAAUAAGCACCGGCUAACUACGUGCCAGCAGCCGCGGUAAUACGUAGGGUGCAAGCGUUAAUCGGAAUUACUGGGCGUAAAGCGUGCGCAGGCGGUUUGCUAAGACCGAUGUGAAAUCCCCGGGCUCAACCUGGGGAACUGCAUUGGUGACUGGCAGGCUAGAGUAUGGCAGAGGGGGGUAGAAUUCCACGUGUAGCAGUGAAAUGCGUAGAGAUGUGGAGGAAUACCGAUGGCGAAGGCAGCCCCCUGGGCCAAUACUGACGCUCAUGCACGAAAAGCGUGGGGGAGCAAAACAGGAUUAGAUACCCUGGUAGUCCACGCCCUAAACGAUGUCAACUAGUUGUUGGGGAUUCA
This 491-nucleotide ribosomal RNA is filed under the name uncultured bacterium. RNAcentral's name for it is "partial 16S ribosomal RNA". It matches the Rfam family "Bacterial small subunit ribosomal RNA", at positions 355 to 833 of the family's 1533-position model. The record is from RNAcentral.